RNAcentral lists this ribosomal RNA (482 nucleotides) under uncultured bacterium. RNAcentral's name for it is "partial 16S ribosomal RNA". It matches the Rfam family "Bacterial small subunit ribosomal RNA", at positions 30 to 507 of the family's 1533-position model. The record is from RNAcentral.
AUUGAACGCUGGCGGCAUGCUUUACACAUGCAAGUCGAACGGUAACAGCACUUCUGUGGCUGACGAGUGGCGAACGGGUGAGUAAUACAUCGGAACGUGCCUAGUAGUUGGGGAUAACUACUCGAAAGAGUAGCUAAUACCGCAUGAGAUCUAAGGAUGAAAGCAGGGGACCUUCGGGCCUUGCGCUACUAGAGCGGCUGAUGGCAGAUUAGGUAGUUGGUGGGAUAAAAGCUUACCAAGCCGACGAUCUGUAGCUGGUCUGAGAGGACGACCAGCCACACUGGGACUGAGACACGGCCCAGACUCCUACGGGAGGCAGCAGUGGGGAAUUUUGGACAAUGGGCGCAAGCCUGAUCCAGCAAUGCCGCGUGCAGGAUGAAGGCCUUCGGGUUGUAAACUGCUUUUGUACGGAACGAAAAGCCCUCUUCUAAUACAGGAGGGUCAUGACGGUACCGUAAGAAUAAGCACCGGCUAACUACGUG